This 497-nucleotide ribosomal RNA is filed under the name uncultured bacterium. Its description in RNAcentral is "partial 16S ribosomal RNA". It matches the Rfam family "Bacterial small subunit ribosomal RNA", at positions 28 to 507 of the family's 1533-position model. The record is from RNAcentral.
GAUGAACGCUGGCGGCGUGCCUAAUACAUGCAAGUCGAGCGAACGGACGAGAAGCUUGCUUUUCUGAUGUUAGCGGCGGACGGGUGAGUAACACGUGGAUAACCUACCUAUAAGACUGGGAGAACUUCGGGAAACCGGAGCUAAUACCGGAUAAUAUUUUGAACCGCAUGGUUCAAAAGUGAAAGACGGUCUUGCUGUCACUUAUAGAUGGAUCCGCGCUGCAUUAGCUAGUUGGUAAGGUAACGGCUUACCAAGGCAACGAUCCAUAGCCGACCUGAGAGGGUGAUCGGCCACACUGGAACUGAGACACGGUCCAGACUCCUACGGGAGGCAGCAGUAGGGAAUCUUCGGCAAUGGGCGAAAGCCUGACGGAGCAAUGCCGCGUGAGUGAUGAAGGUCUUCGGGUCGUAAAACUCUGUUAUUAGGGAAGAAAAUAUGUGUAAGUAUCUGUGCACAUCUUGACGGUACCUAAUCAGAAAGCCACGGCUAACUACGUG